AUGGCUCAGAUUGAACGCUGGCGGCAGGCCUAACACAUGCAAGUCGAGCGGUAACAGAGAGAAGCU
This 66-nucleotide ribosomal RNA is filed under the name Vibrio cincinnatiensis DSM 19608. RNAcentral's name for it is "16S rRNA. Bacterial SSU". The record is from RNAcentral. Lineage: Bacteria; Pseudomonadati; Pseudomonadota; Gammaproteobacteria; Vibrionales; Vibrionaceae.